CCUACGGGGGGCAGCAGUGGGGAAUAUUGGACAAUGGGCGCAAGCCUGAUCCAGCCAUGCCGCGUGAGUGAUGAAGGCCUUAGGGUUGUAAAGCUCUUUUGUCCGGGACGAUAAUGACGGUACCGGAAGAAUAAGCCCCGGCUAACUUCGUGCCAGCAGCCGCGGUAAUACGAAGGGGGCUAGCGUUGCUCGGAAUCACUGGGCGUAAAGGGCGCGUAGGCGGCCGAUUAAGUCGGGGGUGAAAGCCUGUGGCUCAACCACAGAAUUGCCUUCGAUACUGGUUGGCUUGAGACCGGAAGAGGACAGCGGAACUGCGAGUGUAGAGGUGAAAUUCGUAGAUAUUCGCAAGAACACCAGUGGCGAAGGCGGCUGUCUGGUCCGGUUCUGACGCUGAGGCGCGAAAGCGUGGGGAGCAAACAGGAUUAGAUACCCCAGUAGUC
RNAcentral lists this ribosomal RNA (440 nucleotides) under uncultured bacterium. Its description in RNAcentral is "bacterial SSU rRNA". It matches the Rfam family "Bacterial small subunit ribosomal RNA", at positions 338 to 795 of the family's 1533-position model. The record is from RNAcentral.